Heterocephalus glaber (naked mole-rat) is the source of this 1296-nucleotide non-coding RNA. The record is from RefSeq and is a predicted model, not a curated record. Lineage: Eukaryota; Metazoa; Chordata; Mammalia; Rodentia; Bathyergidae.
CUCGUGAGGUCAGCUGAGUAGCUAUGGUGUCUAGAUUUGCUUUUUCUAAGAGAAACAUCAAGGAUGGAGUGCUAAGCUGACACUGCCGUCCUGAGAAGGUGUCGCUGUUCACUUAUCACAAAAUCACCCCGGAAGCCCAGGAAAUUACCUCGGCUAAAAUAACAAGCGUGUUUUCUGGAAAUAAAAUAACCAGAUUUGUUUCUCUAAAAGUCCUAUUCUCUUUUACUUUAACUUCGUACCUGAGCCACUGAGGACAAGGAGGAGGGUGACUAGGGGAGCAGGGAAAGAAAGGUGAAGAAACUGAGGCACACAGAAACUGAAUGACUUAUUCAAGGUCACCAGCUUAUAAAAGUCACAGCUGCAAUUAGAACUCAGGUUUUCGCUGAGAUUGGAGGCGUUCAAAUAAAUAAAUAAUAAAUAGUCUUCCAUGAAAAUUGUAUUGAGUGUCACUGUAUAAUGAACUACCAGGAUUGGGAAGAGUCCCACAUUUAACUUGCCCUUUGCAGAUGGACAUAAGCUGUGGGCCAGCAGUUUGUGAGGCACCUAUGAUGCAUCAGCAAUCACUUACAGCUAAGUGGGAUUUUGCACUCAGGGAACUCAUGUGAAGACACCUGAAAGCAGAGGUUUUUACCACUGGAGAGAUGUUUAAGUUUGGGGCUGGGGUCUAAGAGUCCCAGCAGAAGGUGUCACUGCCAUCAUUGCUGAAGGGGGUGCCGCUGGUAGCUGGAAUGUGUCUGCCCAAUGCUCUCUUUUGGGCACAGCCCACAUCUACGAGCCUCACUCUGCAGCCUGUAGGUCCUGAUAACUUAAACAUUUUCUGGGACUACCAAAUUUUUACAUUUAAUACGGAUCAUAUCAGAAGAUAAAAAUUUCAUGUGGUUCCUUUUGGAUUUGGUGUGCAUUAUUUAACAAGACUCUUUCUUGUCAGAACUACUUGAGCUGUAGGAAUUGGCCAGAAUCCUUUAGACAACAUCCUCUCAAGGCUGGGGACCUCCAAAUUGCAAGGACAAGCAACCAUGAAGUAAUGCUCUAGAAUCAACACACAUCAAGGCCUUUAUUUUAGACUUGUAUAACCACUUUCAUCUUCAGAGGCUGAAUAUUCUCAUCUGCAGAGGAUUUACAAAAAUCCUUUCACCUAUCUUGAGAGUUGGAGCUGAGAGAAGGAAAGAAAGCUUUGAGAAGAUUCUAGUGCAAUUAUUAAACAUGAAGAUCAUCAGGAUUCUCUUAUGUUGCAUGGUUUGCUGAAGUAAUUUCAGUAGAAUUUUUUACUGUUACAGAUGCAUCUUUAAAAAUAAA